AUGGAAAAGAAAGAUGCUAAACCUAGACUUAUUAGAUGGGUUCUCUUGCUACAAGAAUUUGAUUUGCAUAUUAUUGAUAGAAAGGGAGCUGAGAACCCCAUUGCAGACAACUUGUCUAGGUUAGAGAAUGUUCUUGAUGACCCACUACCUAUUGAUGAUAGCUUUCUUGAUGAACAAUUAAAUGUCAUAAAUGCUUCUCAGACUGCUCCAUGGUAUGCUGAUUAUGCUAAUUAUAUUGUUGCUAAAUUUAUACCACCUAGUUUCACAUACCAACAAAAGAAAAAGUUCUUCUAUGAUUUGAGACAUUACUUUUGUGAUGACCCACAUCUUUAUAAAGAAGGAGUAGAUGGUAUUAUUAGAUGUUGUGUACCUGAGCAUGAAGAUGAACAGAUCCUAUGCAAGUGUCACUCCGAGGCUUAUGGAGGACACCAUGCUGGAGAUAGAACUGCACACAAGGUAUUGCAAUCCGGUUUUUAUUGGCCUACUCUCUCCAAGGAUGCCCGUAAGUUUGUCUUGUCUUGUGACGAAUGUCAAAGAAUUGGUAAUAUUAGUAGACGUCAAGAAAUGCCUAUGAAUUAUUCACUUGUUAUUGAACCGUUUGAUGUUUGGGGCUUUGAUGUUAUUGGCCUACUCAAAUUAAUUUUGCAAAAGACCGUUAAUAGAUCUAGAAAGAAUUGA
Molecule: ribosomal RNA, 678 nt
Filed under: Triticum aestivum (bread wheat)
Lineage: Eukaryota; Viridiplantae; Streptophyta; Magnoliopsida; Poales; Poaceae
Description: partial small subunit ribosomal RNA
Source: RNAcentral